This 398-nucleotide long non-coding RNA is filed under the name Mytilus galloprovincialis (Mediterranean mussel). The record is from RNAcentral. Lineage: Eukaryota; Metazoa; Mollusca; Bivalvia; Mytilida; Mytilidae.
GUUGUUUUCUUCUUAUAGUUGAUGUGUUUCCCUCGGUUUCAGUUUGUAACCCGGAUUUGUUUUCUCUCAAUUGAUUUAUAACUUUCGAUUGAUUGAUUGAUUGUUGGUUGCUUAACGUCCAGUGGCAAAUAUUGCAUGCAUAUUCAAGACGAGAACAAGUUCACAAUAAAUACAAUAGGUAGGUCUUGUCAUAAUAGAGGCCAUAAGGGAUGAUAGUCGGGGAAAUUUCGACUGCCACUGGAAAAUGAGGGUAUAUUGGAUAGGGACAGAAAUUUUGCCUUACAACAGGCCACCUAGGGGCCCUCAAAGAGUUGUUGUAAGGGUUCUUAACGUGCAAAGAGCGUGGCACUCUCUUUACACGAUACAUCGGAUUUAACGUCCCCAUUCUGACUGGACGU